RNAcentral lists this long non-coding RNA (942 nucleotides) under Anser brachyrhynchus (Pink-footed goose). Its description in RNAcentral is "lncRNA (ENSABRG00000012766.1)". The record is from RNAcentral. Lineage: Eukaryota; Metazoa; Chordata; Aves; Anseriformes; Anatidae.
UCAGCAUGAGGGAGCCCAUGGACGUUGAACUAACCAGAUCUCUGCAGAUCACAUGAAAAACGGUUUCUUUCUUCUGGAUCCUUCAGACUUUUCCCAGCCUUGUUUACAGAAGUCAGUAUGAACAGUAACGGGCAUUCACAAAUGUGCUUUAGAGGAACCUUUGGGGAAGGUGUCUCAGAGUGCUUUGUCAUUUGCUGACAAACUGGUGCCAGGACCAGAACUUAAUGAAGUCUUCAGAGAAAAUUUUGUGGCAGAUCAGGGAAUCUCAAAGGUAUGGACCUGCAGUAAAACUGCUGUAACAGAUGAUUUAUUUACCUUUAUUCAUCUCUUGAAAGGCUGAAAGUUCAGCUUUGUGGCAAGCUUUAAUAUUACCUUCUUAGUUGCACCCAUGUUGUUAUUUUUCAGGUUUUCUGGCAUUCCAAAAAAAUAGGCCAGGGCAGUAGCUUGGAUUUAUUUGCAGUUUAUCUCCCAGUGAUAUCUCCAGUCUUUAAAGCCUACUGAGCACCUCUGCUAUGCUGCCAAUGCAAAUUACCUUGGACCAUCAGGCAGGAGAGGGCCGAGUUGGUAUGCUGCUGAUUCUCUGUUGCCUUCCACACUCUGGAGCUGGAUUCAUGUCAGCAAGUACUUAUGAAACAAAGUUCAGAGGAGCACUGGAGAUGAUGCAAUAUGAAACACAUCCGCAGAGGAAGAAGCACCAGGUAAUAAACCAAAUUUACUUUCCUCUCUGCAGGUGGAGAUAUUGCAAGAAGAGGUUUUAGAAAUAGCUGUUCUAGGUUCCAAGCUUUGGGCAUGACCCAGAAAGUAGAAGGAGCUGGAUAAUGUGUGCCCCUCGUAGCCUGUAUGCCUGGGGAGCUGCUUACGCCUUCUGCCCAGUGCGGCCCUGAAGUUGAGCAAGAGAAAAGUUCUCAGCUGAAGGGGGAAAAAAUUGAGGGGAAAGGCACA